GGAGGUGUAGCUCAGUGGCAGAGUGUUUGACUACAGCUCAAGUGGUCAAUGGCUCAAAUCCAAGUGCCUCAA
RNAcentral lists this transfer RNA (72 nucleotides) under Pelodiscus sinensis (Chinese soft-shelled turtle). It matches the Rfam family "tRNA". Rfam says of the family: Transfer RNA (tRNA) molecules are approximately 80 nucleotides in length. Lineage: Eukaryota; Metazoa; Chordata; Testudines; Trionychidae. The record is from Rfam by way of RNAcentral.